AUUGAACGCUGGCGGCAGGCCUAACACAUGCAAGUCGAGCGGGGUGAUGGUGCUUGCACUAUCACUUAGCGGCGGACGGGUGAGUAAUGCUUAGGAAUCUGCCUAUUAGUGGGGGACAACAUCUCGAAAGGGAUGCUAAUACCGCAUACGUCCUACGGGAGAAAGCAGGGGAUCACUUGUGACCUUGCGCUAAUAGAUGAGCCUAAGUCGGAUUAGCUAGUUGGUGGGGUAAAGGCCUACCAAGGCGACGAUCUGUAGCGGGUCUGAGAGGAUGAUCCGCCACACUGGGACUGAGACACGGCCCAGACUUCUACGGGAGGCAGCAGUGGGGAAUAUUGGACAAUGGGGGGAACCCUGAUCCAGCCAUGCCGCGUGUGUGAAGAAGGCCUUAUGGUUGUAAAGCACUUUAAGCGAGGAGGAGGCUCUUUUGGUUAAUACCCAAGAUGAGUGGACGUUACUCGCAGAAUAAGCACCGGCUAACUCUGUGCCAGCAGCCGCAGUAA
This 503-nucleotide ribosomal RNA is filed under the name uncultured bacterium. Its description in RNAcentral is "partial 16S ribosomal RNA". It matches the Rfam family "Bacterial small subunit ribosomal RNA", at positions 30 to 523 of the family's 1533-position model. The record is from RNAcentral.